This is a long non-coding RNA of Oncorhynchus keta (chum salmon), 414 nucleotides long. RefSeq lists it as uncharacterized. Lineage: Eukaryota; Metazoa; Chordata; Actinopteri; Salmoniformes; Salmonidae. The transcript is spliced from 3 exons. The record is from RefSeq and is a predicted model, not a curated record.
AGAGUACAGUACAUGUCUCUGUUAGACUCUAAGGUGUUUAGAGUACAGUACAUGUCUCUGUUAGACUCUAAGGUGUUUAGAGUACAGUACAUGUCUCUGUUAGACUCUAAGGUGUUUAGAGUACAGUACAUGUCUCUGUUAGACUCUAAGGUGUUUAGAGUACAGUACAUGUCUCUGUUAGACUCUAAGGUGUUUAGAGUACAGUACAUGUCUCUGUUAGACUCUAAGGUGUUUAGAGUACAGUACAUGUCUCUGUUAGACUCUAAGGUGUUUAGAGUACAGUACAUGUCUCUGUUAGACUCUAAGGUGUUUAGAGUACAGUACAUGUCUCUGUUAGACUCUAAGGUGUUUAGAGUACAGUACAUGUCUCUGUUAGACUCUAAGGUGUUUAGAGUACAGUACAUGUCUCUGUUA